RNAcentral lists this ribosomal RNA (2903 nucleotides) under Escherichia coli KTE199. Its description in RNAcentral is "bacterial LSU rRNA". It matches the Rfam family "Bacterial large subunit ribosomal RNA". The record is from RNAcentral. Lineage: Bacteria; Pseudomonadati; Pseudomonadota; Gammaproteobacteria; Enterobacterales; Enterobacteriaceae.
UUAAGCGACUAAGCGUACACGGUGGAUGCCCUGGCAGUCAGAGGCGAUGAAGGACGUGCUAAUCUGCGAUAAGCGUCGGUAAGGUGAUAUGAACCGUUAUAACCGGCGAUUUCCGAAUGGGGAAACCCAGUGUGAUUCGUCACACUAUCAUUAACUGAAUCCAUAGGUUAAUGAGGCGAACCGGGGGAACUGAAACAUCUAAGUACCCCGAGGAAAAGAAAUCAACCGAGAUUCCCCCAGUAGCGGCGAGCGAACGGGGAGGAGCCCAGAGCCUGAAUCAGUGUGUGUGUUAGUGGAAGCGUCUGGAAAGGCGCGCGAUACAGGGUGACAGCCCCGUACACAAAAAUGCACAUACUGUGAGCUCGAUGAGUAGGGCGGGACACGUGGUAUCCUGUCUGAAUAUGGGGGGACCAUCCUCCAAGGCUAAAUACUCCUGACUGACCGAUAGUGAACCAGUACCGUGAGGGAAAGGCGAAAAGAACCCCGGCGAGGGGAGUGAAAAAGAACCUGAAACCGUGUACGUACAAGCAGUGGGAGCACGCUUCGGCGUGUGACUGCGUACCUUUUGUAUAAUGGGUCAGCGACUUAUAUUCUGUAGCAAGGUUAACCGAAUAGGGGAGCCGAAGGGAAACCGAGUCUUAACUGGGCGUUAAGUUGCAGGGUAUAGACCCGAAACCCGGUGAUCUAGCCAUGGGCAGGUUGAAGGUUGGGUAACACUAACUGGAGGACCGAACCGACUAAUGUUGAAAAAUUAGCGGAUGACUUGUGGCUGGGGGUGAAAGGCCAAUCAAACCGGGAGAUAGCUGGUUCUCCCCGAAAGCUAUUUAGGUAGCGCCUCGUGAAUUCAUCUCCGGGGGUAGAGCACUGUUUCGGCAAGGGGGUCAUCCCGACUUACCAACCCGAUGCAAACUGCGAAUACCGGAGAAUGUUAUCACGGGAGACACACGGCGGGUGCUAACGUCCGUCGUGAAGAGGGAAACAACCCAGACCGCCAGCUAAGGUCCCAAAGUCAUGGUUAAGUGGGAAACGAUGUGGGAAGGCCCAGACAGCCAGGAUGUUGGCUUAGAAGCAGCCAUCAUUUAAAGAAAGCGUAAUAGCUCACUGGUCGAGUCGGCCUGCGCGGAAGAUGUAACGGGGCUAAACCAUGCACCGAAGCUGCGGCAGCGACACUAUGUGUUGUUGGGUAGGGGAGCGUUCUGUAAGCCUGUGAAGGUGUGCUGUGAGGCAUGCUGGAGGUAUCAGAAGUGCGAAUGCUGACAUAAGUAACGAUAAAGCGGGUGAAAAGCCCGCUCGCCGGAAGACCAAGGGUUCCUGUCCAACGUUAAUCGGGGCAGGGUGAGUCGACCCCUAAGGCGAGGCCGAAAGGCGUAGUCGAUGGGAAACAGGUUAAUAUUCCUGUACUUGGUGUUACUGCGAAGGGGGGACGGAGAAGGCUAUGUUGGCCGGGCGACGGUUGUCCCGGUUUAAGCGUGUAGGCUGGUUUUCCAGGCAAAUCCGGAAAACUAAGGCUGAGGCGUGAUGACGAGGCACUACGGUGCUGAAGCAACAAAUGCCCUGCUUCCAGGAAAAGCCUCUAAGCAUCAGGUAACAUCAAAUCGUACCCCAAACCGACACAGGUGGUCAGGUAGAGAAUACCAAGGCGCUUGAGAGAACUCGGGUGAAGGAACUAGGCAAAAUGGUGCCGUAACUUCGGGAGAAGGCACGCUGAUAUGUAGGUGAAGUCCCUCGCGGAUGGAGCUGAAAUCAGUCGAAGAUACCAGCUGGCUGCAACUGUUUAUUAAAAACACAGCACUGUGCAAACACGAAAGUGGACGUAUACGGUGUGACGCCUGCCCGGUGCCGGAAGGUUAAUUGAUGGGGUUAGCGGUAACGCGAAGCUCUUGAUCGAAGCCCCGGUAAACGGCGGCCGUAACUAUAACGGUCCUAAGGUAGCGAAAUUCCUUGUCGGGUAAGUUCCGACCUGCACGAAUGGCGUAAUGAUGGCCAGGCUGUCUCCACCCGAGACUCAGUGAAAUUGAACUCGCUGUGAAGAUGCAGUGUACCCGCGGCAAGACGGAAAGACCCCGUGAACCUUUACUAUAGCUUGACACUGAACAUUGAGCCUUGAUGUGUAGGAUAGGUGGGAGGCUUUGAAGUGUGGACGCCAGUCUGCAUGGAGCCGACCUUGAAAUACCACCCUUUAAUGUUUGAUGUUCUAACGUUGACCCGUGAUCCGGGUUGCGGACAGUGUCUGGUGGGUAGUUUGACUGGGGCGGUCUCCUCCUAAAGAGUAACGGAGGAGCACGAAGGUUGGCUAAUCCUGGUCGGACAUCAGGAGGUUAGUGCAAUGGCAUAAGCCAGCUUGACUGCGAGCGUGACGGCGCGAGCAGGUGCGAAAGCAGGUCAUAGUGAUCCGGUGGUUCUGAAUGGAAGGGCCAUCGCUCAACGGAUAAAAGGUACUCCGGGGAUAACAGGCUGAUACCGCCCAAGAGUUCAUAUCGACGGCGGUGUUUGGCACCUCGAUGUCGGCUCAUCACAUCCUGGGGCUGAAGUAGGUCCCAAGGGUAUGGCUGUUCGCCAUUUAAAGUGGUACGCGAGCUGGGUUUAGAACGUCGUGAGACAGUUCGGUCCCUAUCUGCCGUGGGCGCUGGAGAACUGAGGGGGGCUGCUCCUAGUACGAGAGGACCGGAGUGGACGCAUCACUGGUGUUCGGGUUGUCAUGCCAAUGGCACUGUCCGGUAGCUAAAUGCGGAAGAGAUAAGUGCUGAAAGCAUCUAAGCACGAAACUUGCCCCGAGAUGAGUUCUCCCUGACUCCCUGAGAGUCCUGAAGGAACGUUGAAGACGACGACGUUGAUAGGCCGGGUGUGUAAGCGCAGCGAUGCGUUGAGCUAACCGGUACUAAUGAACCGUGAGGCUUAACCUU